ACGGGAGGCAGCAGUGGGGGAUAUUGCACAAUGGGCGCAAGCCUGAUGCAGCAACGCCGCGUGCGGGAAGACGGCCUUCGGGUUGUAAACCGCUGUCCUUGGUGAAGAAACAAAUGACGGUAACCAUGGAGGAAGCCACGGCUAACUACGUGCCAGCAGCCGCGGUAAUACGUAGGUGGCAAGCGUUGUCCGGAAUUACUGGGUGUAAAGGGAGUGUAGGCGGGACUGUAAGUCAGAUGUGAAAUAUGCCGGCUCAACUGGCAGACUGCAUUUGAAACUGCGGUUCUUGAGUGAAGUAGAGGUAAGCGGAAUUCCUAGUGUAGCGGUGAAAUGCGUAGAUAUUAGGAGGAACAUCAGUGGCGAAGGCGGCUUACUGGGCUUUAACUGACGCUGAGGCUCGAAAGCGUGGGGAGCAAACAGGAUUAGAUACCCUGGUA
Molecule: ribosomal RNA, 437 nt
Filed under: uncultured Ruminococcus sp.
Lineage: Bacteria; Bacillati; Bacillota; Clostridia; Eubacteriales; Oscillospiraceae
Description: partial 16S ribosomal RNA
Rfam family: Bacterial small subunit ribosomal RNA
Source: RNAcentral